CUUGAUCUUCUGAACAGACCUAUGGAGCCGCAAGCAUAAACGGAGUAAAUCAUCAACGUAUCCUAUUUAGAUCACUAUCAGCUCAGAUGAUCCCGGCCCGACCAGUGGACACACACCGAACCGAACUCCAGCGUUACUCUUCUUUAAUUACAAUCCCCCAGCAGAGACCAGACGAUAUGAAGAGAGGAACAGCACAACAGGAACGUAACAAUGUGACACAACAGCAUCGCCGCCACCUCACAACGGGCUGUCGUCCUAUAUGAAAUUCCCAUGACUGCUCCCAGAAACAUCUUUCUACAGACUCGGGUGUAGGACGACUGAGUCUGUGAAUCGCAUUGUUAUGGGACUGUCCCACCUCAUCAUCAGCUGUGGAUGAAAGUUGAAUUAAGAUUUCUUAGAAAUUAUUUAUGUAUCUACUCUCUGUCGGGAUGAAAUUAAACACUGAUGCAUUUCAGACGUGUUUUAAGUUUUUUUUUUUUUUAAUCCUAUUAUGUGACAUAUCCCCAUUAUGUAAAAUAA
This is a long non-coding RNA of Betta splendens (Siamese fighting fish), 519 nucleotides long. RefSeq lists it as uncharacterized. The record is from RefSeq and is a predicted model, not a curated record. The transcript is spliced from 2 exons. NCBI's taxonomy places the organism in Eukaryota, Metazoa, Chordata, Actinopteri, Anabantiformes, Osphronemidae.